AGGUCACCCAUGAUUUGAAUUUCUUCAGCUUUACUCAGUGAUUUGUCGGAUGAAAUAUUUUUUAGAAUAGAUUCCAUAAUUUCAGUAAACUUAAUGAUAUCAGAGUUUGGAGGUCUAUAUACAUUACCAAUAAUUCUAAAUUUCUUUGAAGAAACUUUGACUUUUAAAAAGAUAGAUU
Molecule: long non-coding RNA, 178 nt
Organism: Eurytemora carolleeae
Lineage: Eukaryota; Metazoa; Arthropoda; Copepoda; Calanoida; Temoridae
Exons: 2
Source: RefSeq, a predicted model, not a curated record